Molecule: ribosomal RNA, 497 nt
Filed under: uncultured bacterium
Lineage: Bacteria
Description: partial 16S ribosomal RNA
Rfam family: Bacterial small subunit ribosomal RNA
Source: RNAcentral
GAUGAACGCUGGCGGCGUGCCUAAUACAUGCAAGUCGAGCGAACGGACGAGAAGCUUGCUUCUCUGAUGUUAGCGGCGGACGGGUGAGUAACACGUGGAUAGCCUACCUAUAAGACUGGGAUAACUUCGGGAAACCGGAGCUAAUACCGGAUAAUAUUUUGAACCGCAUGGUUCAAAAGUGGAAGACGGUCUUGCUGUCACUUAUAGAUGGAUCCGCGCUGCAUUAGCUAGUUGGUAAGGUAACGGCUUACCAAGGCAACGAUGCAUAGCCGACCUGAGAGGGUGAUCGGCCACACUGGAACUGAGACACGGUCCAGACUCCUACGGGAGGCAGCAGUAGGGAAUCUUCCGCAAUGGGCGAAAGCCUGACGGAGCAACGCCGCGUGAGUGAUGAAGGUCUUCGGAUCGUAAAACUCUGUUAUUAGGGAAGAACAUAUGUGUAAGUAACUGUGCACAUCUUGACGGUACCUAAUCAGAAAGCCACGGCUAACUACGUG